UCUCCCGUGAGGGAGCAGUCUCGCCUGACACAUGUAACAGGCAACGAGGGUUGCGUUCGUUUCCCCACUUAAGGGAACAGCUCAAGCCACGAACUGACGACGGCCAUGCAUCACCUGCCAUACACUCUCGAAGACUUCCUAGGUUUCCCUAGGCGUGCAGUAUGGUUUCUAGCCUUGGUAAGGUUAUCGCUUAGCGACGAAUUAAGCCACGCGCUCCACCGCUUGUGCGAGCCCCCGUCUAUUCCUUUGAGUUUUAAGCUUGCGCUCGUACUACCCAGGCGGUCCGCUUAACGCGUUAGCUUCGCCACAGAGAGGGUCGAUACUCCCUAUAGCUAGCGGACAUCGUUUAGGGCGUGGACUA
Molecule: unclassified non-coding RNA, 361 nt
Filed under: uncultured bacterium
Lineage: Bacteria
Description: contains 16S-23S intergenic spacer region
Source: RNAcentral